AAAAAUUUUAUUUUUGUUUAAAAAUUAGGUUAAAAAAAAAUUUACAUGUAAAUUUUUAUAGGAGUAUAUGAAAAUUUAGAUAAUAUUUAUAUAAUUAAAUUCGCAGUAUAUAAUUUUAAGAAUUAGUUUAAGCUAGACUUAGAAAAUUUUUUAGUAUUAACAAAAUUUGUGCCAGCAGUUGCGGUUAUACAAAUAAUACAAUUUAAUUUUUUUUAGUAUUAUUUAUUUUAUUUAUAUAAUUUAAUUAAAGAUUUAUUAGGUGAAAUUUUAAAUUUUUUUAUAUUUAUUUAUAUGAAAUAAGAAAUUAAUAGAAAAGACUAGGAUUAGAUACCCUAUUAUUAUUAAUGUGAAAAAAUUGCUAGAUUAGUAUAAGUUAAGAUCUUUAAAAUUAAAAAAUUUGGCGGUAUUUUAGUCUAUUCAGAGGAACCUGUUCUAUAAACGAUAGUCCACGAUUUAAUUGACUUUUUUUAUUAGUUUGUAUAUCGUCGUAGGUUGAAUAUUUUUAGAGAAAAAAAAUAUUCAGAAUUUUUAUUAAAAAAAAAAUCAGAUCAAGGUAUAGCUUAUAAAAAAGUGGAAAUGGGUUACAUUUAAUUAAUUAAAGGAUUUAAUUUUGUAAAAUUUAAUGAAUAUGGAUUUGAGAGUAAUUUUUUAUAUAUUUUAAAAAUGAUUUAAGCUCUAAAAUAUGUACAUAUCGCCCGUCGCUUUCAUUAUAAUAUGAAAUAAGUCGUAACAAAGUGGGCCUACUGGAAAGUGGGCCUAGGAAGAAU
This 767-nucleotide non-coding RNA is filed under the name Coleoptera sp. ACP-2013. The record is from RNAcentral. Lineage: Eukaryota; Metazoa; Arthropoda; Insecta; Coleoptera.